This 640-nucleotide long non-coding RNA is filed under the name Homo sapiens (human). Its description in RNAcentral is "HSALNT0189690". Lineage: Eukaryota; Metazoa; Chordata; Mammalia; Primates; Hominidae. The record is from RNAcentral.
UCAGGGUCAACAGAUCAACCUGCACAUACAUGUUUGGUGAGGAAGUGAAGCCUGUACUACCUUCUCUAAGGGAGAAGAAGGAGGUGACACCAACUUUGCUCUCACAGCCUUUCCAAUUUUGCUGAAGAAAUGACAGAGAAACAUUUUAGAAAAUAGGAUAUGCCAGAAUAUGUGCUAAAGGCAAUCGCUGCUCUGGAAAAUCAGAAAGGAAAGGAAGAAUCAUGAAGGAGAAGAAGCCCAUGAAGGCCACUAUUGAUUGCUUAUAUGUAAUCCCCACAACCAGUUAAGGGUAGGAAUUGUGGCCCCAUAUUAUAGAUUAAGAAACUUGAUGAAAUGCUGAAAUGCCCAUGUCUUGGUUGAAAGCAAGGGAGGGAACAAGCUAAGUUUUUGUUCCAGUCUGUUUUGUUUUCAGUUUCUGUUACCCAUGGAAAUGGAUUGUCUCUUCAAAGCUCCCCAGCUUGGUCCUCCUAACCCCUACCCAACCUCCUCCCCUCAUACCUGGAUCCCCAGUUUCUUCCCUUAUUUUACUCCAGUUCCUCAACCCAACUCUAUCCUUAUGUCUGGUGCUCCUGAUGCCUAUGCCAAGCCAACUUUAAGAUAUGUUAUUGGGCUUUAAUUCCAGAGAGGAAACCAAUGCCCC